Canis lupus familiaris (dog) is the source of this 932-nucleotide long non-coding RNA. RefSeq lists it as uncharacterized. NCBI's taxonomy places the organism in Eukaryota, Metazoa, Chordata, Mammalia, Carnivora, Canidae. The record is from RefSeq and is a predicted model, not a curated record. The transcript is spliced from 2 exons.
CGCGGCGGCGGAGCCAGGCCCCGGCUUAGGGGCUGCCCUCGGCGCCGCCUGAGGGGGCCUUCGCGCUGCCUGGACAGGUUCGACCCGGCCGCACAGCCUCCUCUCCUCCCUCUUGCAAAAGCAAGACCAAAAAAAAAAAAAAAAUGCCAGCAGGCCUCCGUUCUUCUUGUGAGUCCCAGUAGUCCUUCUUAGGGUAUGCCUUCCUGCUUCUCCGACGCUCAGGAUCCUACCAAUCCCAUAGCAAUCUAAGGACUCGGGACGCUGUCACGGUAACGCCCCUCCUCGCUGCACGAAUGGCGGAGUCCAACCGCGUCAAUCUGCCGCCGUUAGUGGCCGACUCGAGGCCGUGGUUCUGCCUCCGAGGUCACCGCCUGCCCGGGUAGUCCUUGGCCUCCAGCCUCCGGACGUUGACCCCUCCAGGGAGGGGCGGACGGGCCAGGUUGGGAGAGGUGAGUGAUCGUAACCCCUGCUUCCCAGCAAAACCAGACCACGUGCAAAUAAACAAAAACACGCCUUGCAAAUGGACCUCAGGCUUUGGCUGUGUGUAUUUGUCUGUGGUACUGAUGGGGAGCUCUUCCUCAGAGCCUCAGUCCCCACCCUCAGCGGCCUUACUUAGACUUUUGAGGCUAGCCCAGAUCGUGGAUGCCGCCUUCCUACCAUUUAGAGGCCGAUUCAUUUGGGAGGACGGAAGUCACCUCUUUGAACCUUAGUUUCUAUGUCUGCAAAGUGGACCCAAGAAUAUUAACACCUUAUAGGGUUGUGAAGAUUAGAGUACAGAUUACCACCAUAGUACUACAUUACUGAUAUUGGGACAAUAAUAUAGGAUGAUGAAAGCAAAGGGUUCAGUGUUUCUGGGUUUAAUGGGGAGGCAGCAUUGAAUGACUGGGUUAACCAGGAAGUUCAAGAAGAAAUAAAAAAAAAAAAAAAAAAAA